UACGUAGGGUGCGAGCGUUGUCCGGAAUUACUGGGCGUAAAGAGCUCGUAGGUGGUUUGUCGCGUUGUUCGUGAAAACCUGAGGCUUAACCUUGGGCGUGCGGGCGAUACGGGCAGACUGGAGUACUGCAGGGGAGACUGGAAUUCCUGGUGUAGCGGUGGAAUGCGCAGAUAUCAGGAGGAACACCGGUGGCGAAGGCGGGUCUCUGGGCAGUAACUGACGCUGAGGAGCGAAAGCCAGGGGAGCGAACGGG
RNAcentral lists this ribosomal RNA (253 nucleotides) under uncultured bacterium. RNAcentral describes it as "partial 16S ribosomal RNA". It matches the Rfam family "Bacterial small subunit ribosomal RNA", at positions 524 to 776 of the family's 1533-position model. The record is from RNAcentral.